Molecule: ribosomal RNA, 253 nt
Filed under: uncultured bacterium
Lineage: Bacteria
Description: partial 16S ribosomal RNA
Rfam family: Bacterial small subunit ribosomal RNA
Source: RNAcentral
CACGUAGGGCGCGAGCGUUGUCCGGAAUUAUUGGGCGUAAAGCGCACGUAGGCGGCUUUUUAAGUCAGAGGUGAAAUCCUGGAGCUCAACUCCAGAACUGCCUUUGAUACUGGAGAGCUUGAGUCCGGGAGAGGUGAGUGGAACUGCGAGUGUAGAGGUGAAAUUCGUAGAUAUUCGCAAGAACACCAGUGGCGAAGGCGGCUCACUGGCCCGGUACUGACGCUGAGGUGCGAAAGCGUGGGGAGCAAACAGG